ACAUUUAGCGUGUUGUACAUUUAUCGUGAGCUGUUUAUCAGUAUGCUUUGCUGCCUCUUGUAUUAUUGAGUAUUGAAGAUCAAAAUGUCAACUGUCAAGUGGCUUCUGUACAGUGGUGGCUUAAUGAGGACUUAAAAACCACAAUCAGUCAAGUGUUUUUAGUAUUGCUGUUUUCAAACUUUUGAAUAAAGUUGCAGCUGGUUGUCAUUUC
Long non-coding RNA from Sander lucioperca (pikeperch), 211 nucleotides. RefSeq lists it as uncharacterized. NCBI's taxonomy places the organism in Eukaryota, Metazoa, Chordata, Actinopteri, Perciformes, Percidae. The record is from RefSeq and is a predicted model, not a curated record. The transcript is spliced from 3 exons.